UGGGGAAUAUUGGACAAUGGGCGCAAGCCUGAUCCAGCCAUGCCGCGUGUGUGAAGAAGGCCUUAGGGUUGUAAAGCACUUUCAGUGGGGAGGAAGGGUGUUGUGUUAAUAGCACAGCAUUUUGACGUUACCCACAGAAGAAGCACCGGCUAACUCCGUGCCAGCAGCCGCGGUAAUACGGAGGGUGCAAGCGUUAAUCGGAAUUACUGGGCGUAAAGCGCACGCAGGCGGCUUUUUAAGUCGGAUGUGAAAGCCCCGGGCUCAACCUGGGAAUUGCAUCUGAUACUGGGAAGCUAGAGUAUGUGAGAGGGGGGUAGAAUUCCAAGUGUAGCGGUGAAAUGCGUAGAGAUUUGGAGGAAUACCAGUGGCGAAGGCGGCCCCCUGGCACAAUACUGACGCUCAGGUGCGAAAAGCGUGGGGAGCAAAACAGGAUUAGAUACCCUGGUAGUCCACGCCGUAAAACGAUGUCUACUAGAUGUUCGUGGUCUUGUACCGUGAGUAUCGCAGCUAACGCAUUAAGUAGACCGCCUGGGGAGUACGGUCGC
RNAcentral lists this ribosomal RNA (545 nucleotides) under uncultured bacterium. Its description in RNAcentral is "partial 16S ribosomal RNA". It matches the Rfam family "Bacterial small subunit ribosomal RNA", at positions 355 to 889 of the family's 1533-position model. The record is from RNAcentral.